GUCUCAAUGGCGUAGUGGGAGAGCGACGGACUCUCACUAGGGAGAUUGGGUUCGAAUCCCGGAUGAGACA
Non-coding RNA from Henosepilachna vigintioctopunctata, 70 nucleotides. The record is from the annotation of a GenBank genome assembly. Lineage: Eukaryota; Metazoa; Arthropoda; Insecta; Coleoptera; Coccinellidae.